Molecule: ribosomal RNA, 906 nt
Filed under: Oidiodendron periconioides
Lineage: Eukaryota; Fungi; Ascomycota; Leotiomycetes; Myxotrichaceae
Description: LSU rRNA
Rfam family: Eukaryotic large subunit ribosomal RNA
Source: RNAcentral
GCAUAUCAAUAAGCGGAGGAAAAGAAACCAACAGGGAUUGCCUCAGUAACGGCGAGUGAAGCGGCAACAGCUCAAAUUUGAAAUCUGGCCCUCUCAGGGUCCGAGUUGUAAUUUGGAGAAGAUGCUUCGGGUGUGGCCCCGGUCUAAGUUCCUUGGAACAGGACGUCACAGAGGGUGAGAAUCCCGUACGUGACCGGUGGCCGCCCCCGUGUGAAGCUCUUUCGACGAGUCGAGUUGUUUGGGAAUGCAGCUCAAAAUGGGUGGUAAAUUUCAUCUAAAGCUAAAUAUUGGCCAGAGACCGAUAGCGCACAAGUAGAGUGAUCGAAAGAUGAAAAGCACUUUGGAAAGAGAGUUAAACAGUACGUGAAAUUGUUGAAAGGGAAGCGCUUGCAACCAGACUUGCGCGCGGCCGAUCAUCCGGUGUUCGCACCGGUGCACUCGGUCGCGCUCAGGCCAGCAUCGGUUUGGGUGGCUGGAUAAAGGCCUCGGGAAUGUGGCUCCCCUCGGGGAGUGUUAUAGCCCGAGGUGCAAUGCAGCCUACCCGGACCGAGGACCGCGCUUCGGCUAGGAUGCUGGCGUAAUGGUUGUAAGCGACCCGUCUUGAAACACGGACCAAGGAGUCUAACAUCUAUGCGAGUGUUUGGGUGUCAAACCCAUACGCGUAAUGAAAGUGAACGGAGGUGAGAACCCUUAAGGGUGCAUCAUCGACCGAUCCUGAUGUCUUCGGAUGGAUUUGAGUAAGAGCAUAGCUGUUGGGACCCGAAAGAUGGUGAACUAUGCCUGAAUAGGGUGAAGCCAGAGGAAACUCUGGUGGAGGCUCGCAGCGGUUCUGACGUGCAAAUCGAUCGUCAAAUUUGGGCAUAGGGGCGAAAGACUAAUCGAACCAUCUAGUAGCUGGUUCUGCGA